Long non-coding RNA from Drosophila obscura, 388 nucleotides. RefSeq lists it as uncharacterized. NCBI's taxonomy places the organism in Eukaryota, Metazoa, Arthropoda, Insecta, Diptera, Drosophilidae. The record is from RefSeq and is a predicted model, not a curated record. The transcript is spliced from 3 exons.
GAAAUAUUUCACCCAUUUCUUGCACUUCAGGGAAUACGAAUCAUUUAGUUGAAAAACUUUACCAUUUAUGGGGUUAAAAAUACAAAAAUUAAAUCACUAUCAACUUAUCAGGCGGUACGCAAAGAUCCACCAUUACACCUUCUAAAUGCUUCGCGGGGAAAUGUCAACACUUGUUAAUUUUUUUCGUCAUUUUUUUCGUUUAUUAAAUUUUUUGUGAUUUUUCGGAAAUUAUAUUUUCCGAGAUGUUUACUCGGCAAGCGGUUCGACUCACCUACAAUUUCUGAAAUUCCCUCGAAGCUUAAGUCGGAAAUAUAUGCAACAUUUCUUAGACAAAAGAACAUGUAACACUCAUGUGCAUAACAAAUAAUAUAACUAUUUUUUUUGUUAG